Molecule: ribosomal RNA, 255 nt
Filed under: uncultured bacterium
Lineage: Bacteria
Description: partial 16S ribosomal RNA
Rfam family: Bacterial small subunit ribosomal RNA
Source: RNAcentral
GAUGAACGCUGGCGGCGUGCCUAAUACAUGCAAGUCGAGCGGUAACAGGCUCUCACAGUUUGCUUAAGUUCUGCGGCAGUAAUGCCACAGACGGACAAUAUACUCACCGAAGCUAGGCUAGCGGAAGUGGUAUGGCGGUCGUAUUAAGCGAAGUGUGAGAGUGCUGACGAGCGGCGGACGGCUGAGUAACACGUAGGAACGUACCCCAAAGUGAGGGAUAAGCAUUGGAAACAGUGUCUAAUACCGCAUGUGGCC